Molecule: transfer RNA, 77 nt
Filed under: Cycloclasticus sp. Phe_18
Lineage: Bacteria; Pseudomonadati; Pseudomonadota; Gammaproteobacteria; Thiotrichales; Piscirickettsiaceae
Also listed under: 6 other names
Description: tRNA-Met
Rfam family: tRNA
About the family: Transfer RNA (tRNA) molecules are approximately 80 nucleotides in length.
Source: RNAcentral
GGGCCUUUAGCUCAGUUGGUUAGAGCAGUGGACUCAUAAUCCAUUGGUCGAAGGUUCAAGUCCUUCAAGGCCCACCA